ACGCACGCUGGCGGCAUGCCUCACCCCUGCAAGUCGCACGCGACCUUCGGGUCUAGUGGCGCACGGGUGCGUAACGCGUGGGAACCUGCCCUUAGGUUCGGAAUAACUCCCCGAAAGGGGUGCUAAUACCGGAUAAUGUCUUCGGACCAAAGAUUUAUCGCCUUUGGAUGGGCCCGCGUUGGAUUAGCUAGUUGGUAGGGUAAAAGCCUACCAAGGCGACGAUCCAUAGCUGGUCUGAGAGGAUGAUCAGCCACACUGGGACUGAGACACGGCCCAGACUCCUACGGGAGGCAGCAGUGGGGAAUAUUGGACAAUGGGCGAAAGCCUGAUCCAGCAAUGCCGCGUGAGUGAUGAAGGCCUUAGGGUUGUAAAGCUCUUUUACCCGGGAUGAUAAUGACAGUACCGGGAGAAUAAGCUCCGGCUAACUCCGUG
This 432-nucleotide ribosomal RNA is filed under the name uncultured bacterium. RNAcentral describes it as "partial 16S ribosomal RNA". It matches the Rfam family "Bacterial small subunit ribosomal RNA", at positions 29 to 507 of the family's 1533-position model. The record is from RNAcentral.